This 360-nucleotide ribosomal RNA is filed under the name Clinostomum giganticum. RNAcentral describes it as "eukaryotic LSU rRNA". It matches the Rfam family "Eukaryotic large subunit ribosomal RNA", at positions 52 to 388 of the family's 3401-position model. Lineage: Eukaryota; Metazoa; Platyhelminthes; Trematoda; Strigeidida; Clinostomidae. The record is from RNAcentral.
AGAGGAAAAGACUACCGGAUUCCCCUAGUAACUGCGAGUGAAGAGGGAUUAGCCCAGCACCGAAGCCUGCGGUCAUUUGACUGCUAGGCAAUGUGGUGUUUAGGUUGGUUCUUGGCAUUACUGCUCCACCCUAAGUCCAGCAAUGAGUACGGCUUACUGGAUUGGCCCAUUGAGGGUGAAAGGCCCGUGUGGGUGGAGACCCAGAUUGUCAGUUUUGCCCUGAAUUAACCUUGGAGUCGGGUUGUUUGUGAAUGCAGCCCAAAGUGGGUGGUAAACUCCAUCUAAGGCUAAAUACUGGCACGAGUCCGAUAGCGAACAAGUACCGUGAGGGAAAGUUGAAAAGUACUCUGAAGAGAGAGA